Molecule: unclassified non-coding RNA, 1789 nt
Filed under: Hevea brasiliensis (rubber tree)
Lineage: Eukaryota; Viridiplantae; Streptophyta; Magnoliopsida; Malpighiales; Euphorbiaceae
Source: RNAcentral
AUAUUUUACUCACAAACUUGACAGCAAUCACUGUGGCGGCUGGGCGAAGGAGUAAGGCUGUCCCGGCUCACCUAUGUAUAUUCCAACUCCGGGGACGCGCUCAAGACGUCUGACAACGGUGGGGUAGCCAAAAUCUCGACCCAAUUCUGAGACUUUUUCGAUAGCCUGUCUGUCUGGCUGGAAAUUCACAGACCCAGGCAACCGUCAAAUUUUCGCAAAUUGAAGGUACCUUUCUUAAUUGCACUGUCAUCCAUAGCCUUAUAUUCCAUAUUCUUCAAUGCAAGUUCAACGCCAUAACCACCCAAAUUUAAGGAGUCUUUGGCACCAACAGUACCACAAUUGCCAACUUUUUCUUCACAGCCAGAGGGUAAAACCGGUCUAACUACAUAUUUUAUCCUCCCCUGUCUGGCAGCUUCAACCAGUGUGACAUGAAAUUGCCUAAAACAAUCAGUUCCAAGAGCUCCAUAGAGAAUAGCAACUGGGCUUAUAGUAUGAGAGUCAAAAUGGAUGUGAUCAAAAUCAAAUAGUUCAGGCUGCUGAAAUGAGUCUUCUGCAAGUUUAGCAGGGUUAUGAAGCCAUAACAGCAACUCUGCAACAUCAAAGAACAAUGCUCCACCAGUAUCCACCCAGCAACAUUUUCCACCAGGGCUCUUAGGAUUUACACCAACAAGCAAAGGAUCUGACCUUUUACUUUCAUUUUCCUCACUUGUUUCUGCAAUUACUCCACUAUCAUUGUUUGAAAUACUAUCAUCAGAAAGAGGGAAAGAAGAAAGAGAAUCCUCUGCUAAUUGUCGGUAAAGCACCAAUCUUGGGGCUGCUGAUCUCAAAAUAAGAGAGAACUCAAAUAGUGAGGCCAGUGGAUCACUUAAAAGUGACCGUCCAUGUUUUAUAAUUCUUUUGAGGCAAUCUCUUGCUGUAUGAGAGUCAGAUUCAUCCUCCUCUGCUCGAAGCCAGACCUCAAUGAACUCCCAAUAAAGGUCUUUCCACUCCUUCGAUAGUAAUUCACUAUACCAAGAAAUAAAAUAAUAUAAAAUAACAUUGGUGCAUAGGAAGACACUCUACAAACUUAAGAAAAUGGAUUAAGGAGAUUAACUCACUAAUCACCACACAAAUAAAUUAGAUAAAACUAAUGUAUCGGAAGAACACUUUGCAAAUUUAGAAAAAUAGAUUUAAUAAAUUAGAAACUGUAACUAAAGUAAACUGUAUCACAAAAUGGAAAGGCUAAAGCACACAAGAUAUAUUCAAGCAACGCUAACUUACCAUAUAAAGAAUCUAAAAUGUCAGAGAAUUUAUCUAGGACAGGUUAAUUAUUCUAAAUUAAAGGGAAAACAGUGCUCUUCAUAAUUCAGAUAUAAUUACAGACUGAGGCACUUGAUGCCCAUCAAACUACUCUUUGAAUCAUGUAAAACAGGAGUAAAAGAACCUUUAGCGAACAGAUUCAGCAGCUAAAUUUGACUCAAAUUGACAAAGAAAGGCUUUGAAACUUUUAAUAUUUGUCUGUGGAGACCAAGUCCAACCAGCAAGCAAAGCCAUGACGUCACUUGAUUAUUAUCUAUCAACAAUGGAGUUUUCCACUUCAACAAAGAAAUAGCAAAGCCGCUCUUUCUUUCCUUGUAACCACCCAAGGGUAGCUCUGCAAUACCUCCAGCUUAGCAUCAAAACUUAAGAAUACUAUCUCAUUAGUAAAAUGAAUAAAGCCCAGGCACAGCUUGUCUUCGUCCCCAUCCCCGUUAUGGGCCACCUUGUAUCCACGGUGGAGGUAGCAAAGCUUCUUCUUACUCGCCAACAC